UCCAGACUCCUACGGGAGGCAGCAGUGGGGGAUAUUGCACAAUGGGGGGAACCCUGAUGCAGCGACGCCGCGUGGGUGAAGGAGCGUUUCGGCGCGUAAAGCCCUAUCGGCAGGGAAGAAGGAGGACGGUACCUGACUAAGAAGCCCCGGCUAACUACGUGCCAGCAGCCGCGGUAAUACGUAGGGGGCAAGCGUUAUCCGGAUUUACUGGGUGUAAAGGGGGCGCAGACGGCAGCGCAAGCCAGGAGUGAAAGCCCGGGGCCCAACCCCGGGACUGCUCUUGGAACUGCGCGGCUGGAGUGCAGGAGGGGCAGGCGGAAUUCCUGGUGUAGCGGUGAAAUGCGUAGAUAUCAGGAGGAACACCGGUGGCGAAGGCGGCCUGCUGGACUGCGACUGACGUUGAGGCCCGAAAGCGUGGGGAGCAAACAGGAUUAGAUACCCCGGUACC
Molecule: ribosomal RNA, 448 nt
Filed under: uncultured bacterium
Lineage: Bacteria
Description: partial 16S ribosomal RNA
Rfam family: Bacterial small subunit ribosomal RNA
Source: RNAcentral